AGUCCAUGAUGUGGGCAUUAUUGCAAUAAUCCCUUGAAUUGGUCCCACACCUCGAAUAAUGAUUCUUUGUCUUUCUACAUGAAGCUCGUGAUGAGAUGUCUCAGGUC
Molecule: small nucleolar RNA, 107 nt
Organism: Zingiber officinale
Lineage: Eukaryota; Viridiplantae; Streptophyta; Magnoliopsida; Zingiberales; Zingiberaceae
Source: RefSeq, a predicted model, not a curated record